ACAUUCGUAGUUCAGUGGUAGAACUCUUGCAUUGCAUGCAGAAGACCCAGGUUCGAUUCCCAGCCAAGGUA
This 71-nucleotide transfer RNA is filed under the name Loxodonta africana (African savanna elephant). It matches the Rfam family "tRNA". Rfam says of the family: Transfer RNA (tRNA) molecules are approximately 80 nucleotides in length. Lineage: Eukaryota; Metazoa; Chordata; Mammalia; Proboscidea; Elephantidae. The record is from Rfam by way of RNAcentral.